GCGGAACAAACGGCACCAAGAUUGCCGGGAAUGGGCAAGAACAGGCUGCUCGACCUUGGCUCUUCGGAUGGCUCGCGCAAUGGCAGCAACCGCCCGCCAAAUCGACGCGACGCGACCGCCUGAAGGGAAGGAGAAGAGGAACAGCUCAGAGCACGGACGGGAAACAUCAGAGACAUGGAUGAAAUGUCAAGGGAUUGAAGCAACAUGCAGCAAAAUCACCAUCAACAAUCGAAGGGGACCUCAAAUGAAGAACCGGGCGAGUGGAAUCCACCAAUCUUUUACAUACCUCAGCCGCCGGUCGCCACCACCGCCGCAGCCGCGCGCGGACGAACAACUAACCCAGGCGAGCAAAUCGGACCGAGACCCGCCCAGAACCCGCGCUCUCCGCCGGAUCCGACGCCGGCGAGCGCCUGGGAGGCCAGGGAACCGCCCGAAAACUCCCCGCAAUUCCCCGCCCGACCGACCGACCGACCGCGGCGCGGCUGCUCCGGCGAGCAGAUGCAACGCACUCCGCGAGCUCCGAUUCGGCGGGCUCCCGGCGGCAAUCCGGCGAGGGUGCUGGCUAGGGUUUAUCGGAGGCGAGGGAUUGGGGAUAUUUUUCUCCGCUCCUCCCGGCGGCAGCUGUUUUUCUCUAGCUCGUGCGGUCGCAGAGGAACAACGAGAGUGCUU
Molecule: long non-coding RNA, 669 nt
Filed under: Triticum aestivum (bread wheat)
Lineage: Eukaryota; Viridiplantae; Streptophyta; Magnoliopsida; Poales; Poaceae
Description: long non-coding RNA (TAES_LNC008473)
Source: RNAcentral